RNAcentral lists this long non-coding RNA (315 nucleotides) under Phascolarctos cinereus (koala). Its description in RNAcentral is "lncRNA (ENSPCIG00000035403.1)". Lineage: Eukaryota; Metazoa; Chordata; Mammalia; Diprotodontia; Phascolarctidae. The record is from RNAcentral.
CUAGUUUCAGAUUGUUCGAGUGUCAAAAGCAUUGUUUUCUUCAUUUUGUUGAUAGAUCUGGGGGUUCUGUUGGGAAAUGGAAGAUAUCCUUAAAAAAACAGCACCACCUACAAUAAUAACGUGCAACAUCUCUUCCUGGAAUGCAUUCUGUCAUUGUUCUCCUAGUGGAUGUCAGGAUCUUCCUGUUCAAGAAGCAGCUCCAGGCAUAUCAUUUACUAAGAGACAAAGUGAAGAAGAGGAAAGAAGGGGAAUAAAAAAAGAUAAAAAUAAAGAUGUGAUUUCCAAAAUAUAUCACUAUUCAUACUGCACUCCUAG